AAGUCGUAACAAGGUUUCCGUAGGUGAACCUGCGGAAGGAUCAUUAACACUUAUUAUUAUCCAAUAUCAAAAAUAAAACCAAACGGCAUCUUUUCUUCUCCCUAUUUCGACUACCGGAGACGGGUCGAUUAGGCUAACCUUUUUUUUUAAAAUUAUAACCCCAUUUAAUUUAUGUCUCUAUUUAUUUAUAGAUAUAAACAAAACCAACUCUUCUUUUGUUCAAGUGUGGUUUUACAUCACACAAACAACAAUAAGAACUAAACUAAAAUAUACAUUUGAUUAUAUUUUUAUUUUACGAAAUAAUAUAUAUUUAUAAGAACAACUCUUAGCAAUGGAUAUCUUGGUUCUC
This 349-nucleotide unclassified non-coding RNA is filed under the name fungal sp. Its description in RNAcentral is "partial internal transcribed spacer region". The stretch from base 1 to 46 matches the Rfam family "Eukaryotic small subunit ribosomal RNA", at positions 1786 to 1831 of the family's 1831-position model. The record is from RNAcentral. Lineage: Eukaryota; Fungi.